This is a long non-coding RNA of Rosa rugosa (rugosa rose), 725 nucleotides long. RefSeq lists it as uncharacterized. The transcript has 3 exons. The record is from RefSeq and is a predicted model, not a curated record. NCBI's taxonomy places the organism in Eukaryota, Viridiplantae, Streptophyta, Magnoliopsida, Rosales, Rosaceae.
UUUUCUUUUUCCUUCUCUCUUCUCCCUCCCGUGGUUUUCUAUCUUUCUCUCCUCUGCAACUCUCUUCCCUCUGCAACUCUCUUUCCCUCCAGCAUAUCUCCUCCUCCAGACCACCAAAUGGCGAGCUGCUGGCCUAGAUAGACUCGUCUCCUCCUCCUUAACCUGCAUGUGGGAGUUGUUUACCGCGAUUUGGCCGGAAAUGUGGAGAUCAAAACCAACAUUUUUACUGUAGCAAAAUGGUCAACGCCGAUUUCCGGUCACCUUCGGCCACAAAACCAGGUCCAUUAGAAGCGCCUUGAGCCACUCUUCAUGCUCUCCAAACCUCUUGCAGCGAUUUGAAGCGUGGAGGAAGAAAGCAUAAUUGGAAAAUUUCACUAUACUUCGGAUUGCUUAAUUGUUCGGCCACUUCAAGGGCGAUAUACCGAGUUAUUGCUCGACGAAAGAACUUGUAUGCGUGAUCGCCUCAAUAGUACUUUUGCAGGCCAGUUUAGCUUGAGGUCGAGCGUAGUUGGGGUUGAGGCAUAGCUGUCAUAGCUUCCGCAUUAUAAAAGCAUCGGUCAUUUAUCUUGCUUUCUAUUCUCUUGUUCGCCUGUACAUUAGAUUGCUCUGAUAACCUAUGAGAUUAAUAUUCUUAAAUUCAGAAUUGUUUAUGAAAUGAGAGAUGUGAGAUGUUGUGAUAUAGGGAGCAGGGUGGCUCCAGGAGAAUAAGGAUGGAUGAUUUAGAA